This 776-nucleotide ribosomal RNA is filed under the name uncultured fungus. RNAcentral's name for it is "eukaryotic LSU rRNA". The stretch from base 1 to 241 matches the Rfam family "Eukaryotic small subunit ribosomal RNA", at positions 1593 to 1831 of the family's 1831-position model. Lineage: Eukaryota; Fungi. The record is from RNAcentral.
UUGCUCUUCAACGAGGAAUGCCUAGUAAGCGCGUGUCAUCAGCAUGCGUUGAUUACGUCCCUGACCUUUGUACACACCGCCCGUCGCUACUACCGAUUGAAUGGCUCAGUGAGGCCUUCGGACUGGCUCGAGGAGGUUGGCAACGACCACCUCAAGCCGGAAAGUUCGUCAAACUCGGUCACUUAGAGGAAGUAAAAGUCGUAACAAGGUCUCCGUAGGUGAACCUGCGGAGGGGUCAUUACACAAAUAUGAAGGCGGGCUGGAACCUCUCGGGGUUACAGCCUUGCUGAAUUAUUCACCCUUGUCUUUUGCGCACUUCUUGUUUCCUUGGUGGGUUCGCCCACCACUAGGACAAACAUAAACCUUUUGUAAUUGCAAUCAGCGUCAGUAACAAAUUAAUAAUUACAACUUUCAACAACGGAUCUCUUGGUUCUGGCAUCGAUGAAGAACGCAGCGAAAUGCGAUAAGUAGUGUGAAUUGCAGAAUUCAGUGAAUCAUCGAAUCUUUGAACGCACAUUGCGCCCCUCGGUAUUCCGUGGGGCAUGCCUGUUCGAGCGUCAUCUACACCCUCAAGCUCUGCUUGGUGUUGGGCGUCUGUCCCGCCUCCGCGCGUGGACUCGCCCCAAAUUCAUUGGCAGCGGUCCUUGCCUCCUCUCGCGCAGCACAUUGCGCUUCUCGAGGGGCUACGGCUCGCGUCCAACAAGCACAUUUACCGUCUUUGACCUCGGAUCAGGUAGGGAUACCCGCUGAACUUAAGCAUAUCAAUAAGCGGAGGA